This 405-nucleotide transfer-messenger RNA is filed under the name Candidatus Omnitrophota. Its description in RNAcentral is "UBA6249 sp022013085 Standard tmRNA". It matches the Rfam family "transfer-messenger RNA". Rfam says of the family: Bacterial tmRNA, also known as 10Sa RNA or SsrA, is named for its dual tRNA and mRNA-like properties. Its role is to liberate the mRNA from a stalled ribosome. The record is from RNAcentral. Lineage: Bacteria; Pseudomonadati. RNAcentral also lists the same sequence under 1 other name.
GGGGGUGAAAGGGUUCGACUUAAGAUAUGUCGGAUAAAAGCAGCAUGCCGCGGAAGUAAGGUUAGCCGCGUUAACAACCCUUACACAAUUUAAACGCAAACACGCAAGUGUCACGUUUAGGAACAUUUGUCACGCCGAGUUUUGCGGCGAGGCCUAUGUUCGUACCAGCCUUCGGACUUAAUUAAGUCUGGAGCCUCUAACUGUCCUGCCUACGGGAUAGAUUAGGGCCUAAGUAGGAUAGUCCCGGCGGUUAGCCUUCCAAGCCGGGGCGAAAUCGAAAAGGCUGCUCUUUGCAAAUCCUGCCAUGUAGAAGUUGCAAGGUUAAGAUAAAUUACAAGGCUAAGCAUGUAGUGGCUUUUAUUUGAUUACUUAAGGACGGCGGUCCAAUUCCGCCCACCUCCACCA